This 601-nucleotide long non-coding RNA is filed under the name Olea europaea subsp. europaea. Lineage: Eukaryota; Viridiplantae; Streptophyta; Magnoliopsida; Lamiales; Oleaceae. The record is from RNAcentral.
CCUUAAUCUACUGAAAUUGCAUAGGAGCCCCUUCAUUUAAAAUUUACAAACUGACCCUUACUACAUAAUUAUAGCCGGGGUCAUCAAUAUUAACUUCUUGCAAAAUGACCCUUAUUUAAAAUUUGCAAGUUGAUCCUCCCUUUUAGUUAUAGGCAACCCCCUUGAAUUUCAGAAAUUACAAAUCAAGCCCCCUUCUCCAAACUCUGUUUCACCUGAUUACAGAAACCCUAAGAAAUUCUUCUCCCUUUCAUUUAGCGGCGCCGACGACUUCAUUCGCGUUGUGAGACACCACUUGAGAGGCUGCAUCUCGUCGCUCGACCUUCGGGCUCCAAGAGUGGUGCGUUGCAGCAGUGCGAGGUUGCCCUGUACCUCGCACUGCUGCUAUUGCAGCGGCAUGGUGCCGCUGCAGAUACGCAGGUAGCACGAGGUCGCCCUGCGCCUCGCGCUGCUGCUGUUGCAGCGGGAUGAUAGCGCCCACCGCCGCUGCGGUAAGCGCGGCAGCACACUGCUGUGCGUGAGUCGUCGUCGCCGCCCCUUCCGACCUUUUUUUUAUUUCCAAAACUAGAUUUCAAAAAUAUGAAAAUCGAAUUUUCAUUAAUUG